RNAcentral lists this ribosomal RNA (612 nucleotides) under Pseudotremella moriformis. Its description in RNAcentral is "LSU rRNA". It matches the Rfam family "Eukaryotic large subunit ribosomal RNA", at positions 48 to 647 of the family's 3401-position model. The record is from RNAcentral. Lineage: Eukaryota; Fungi; Basidiomycota; Tremellomycetes; Tremellales; Bulleraceae.
AAGCGGAGGAAAAGAAACUAACAAGGAUUCCCCUAGUAACGGCGAGUGAAGAGGGAAGAGCUCAAAUUUGAAAUCUGGCGUGCUCAGCGCGUCCGAGUUGUAAUCUACAGAGUCGUUUUCCGUGCCGGACCGUGUCCAAGUUCCUUGGAACAGGAUAUCAAAGAGGGCGACAAUCCCGUACUUGACACGACGACCGGUGCCCUGUGAUACGUCUUCUAUGAGUCGAGUUGUUUGGGAAUGCAGCUCUAAACGGGCGGUGAGUUCCAUCUAAGGCUAAAUAUUGGCGAGAGACCGAUAGCGAACAAGUACCGUGAGGGAAAGAUGAAAAGCACUUUGGAAAGAGAGUUAAACAGUACGUGAAAUUGUUGAAAGGGAAACGAUUGAAGUCAGUCGUGUCCUCGAGGCUCAGCCGGUUCUGCCGGUGUAUUCCUCUUGGACGGGUCAACGUCAGUUCUGUCCGGCGGAUAAGGGCCUUGGGAAUGUAGCACCCCUCGGGGUGUGUUAUAGCCCAGGGUCACAUACGUCGGGUGGGACUGAGGACUGCAGCUCGCCUUCAUUGGCCGGGGUUCGCCCACGUUCGAGCUUAGGAUGUUGAAGUAAUGGCUUUAACGA